UCUUUCUUUUGCUGGCGACCGGCGCACGGGUGAGUAACACUAUCCAACCUGCCCUUUACUCGGGGAUAGCCUUUCGAAAGAAAGAUUAAUACCCGAUAUAUAAUGAUUCCGCAUGGUUUCAUUAUUAAAGGAUUCCGGUAAAGGAUGGGGAUGCGUUCCAUUAGGUUGUUGGUGAGGUAACGGCUCACCAAGCCUUCGAUGGAUAGGGGUUCUGAGAGGAAGGUCCCCCACAUUGGAACUGAGACACGGUCCAA
Molecule: ribosomal RNA, 254 nt
Filed under: uncultured bacterium
Lineage: Bacteria
Description: partial 16S ribosomal RNA
Rfam family: Bacterial small subunit ribosomal RNA
Source: RNAcentral